This 238-nucleotide long non-coding RNA is filed under the name Sorghum bicolor (sorghum). Its description in RNAcentral is "long non-coding RNA (SBIC_LNC013661)". The record is from RNAcentral. Lineage: Eukaryota; Viridiplantae; Streptophyta; Magnoliopsida; Poales; Poaceae.
CACGACAAGAUGGCCAUUGGCUUCGUCGUCCCUGAGGUCAGAUCUCCAUCUCAUCUUCUGUAUUUUUUUUAUUCCUGUUCAUUCGCGAUUCAUCUUACUGAAUAUUCUCCUUUUCCUUUUUCUUUGUAUUUUUAUUCCCCCAAAAUCACUAGGAGUUGUCCAAUAAAAUUGUCAUCCUCACCGAUCAACCACACCUUCAAUGUCUCGGCCCUCUAGGGGAUUCAGAUCCAACCAACCU